UGCUGGUCGUGAAGCACCCCCUCUCGGAAUCCUGGGCCCUGCCGGGGGUGAGCCAGUGCAAGCUGUCUGUCCAUCCAUCCCACCCUCCGACCCAGCA
This 97-nucleotide small nucleolar RNA is filed under the name Ursus thibetanus thibetanus. RNAcentral's name for it is "Z6 small nucleolar RNA (ENSUTTG00000020099.1)". The record is from RNAcentral. Lineage: Eukaryota; Metazoa; Chordata; Mammalia; Carnivora; Ursidae.